CCGUUGGCAAAAUUCUAGCCAUAUAAAAAAGUAAGGAAUUUUCGUAAGCCACAUGGUUCUUUUGGAUAUACUUACUUCAUUAUUUAUUAUUUAUAUUUUUAUUUUUCUUGCGGGCAAUGCAAUUAUGUCUUUCAUCUAGCUGUCUUGAUGUCUCUCCCUUUUUCUCAUCUUUCCAUCUCCAUCUUCUUGCCGACAAUUAUAUUAGGGCAUUUACAACUCGAGAACUCUUCCAGAUUGAAUGAUCGCAGCGAACUCUUUACUUAUAGAACCCACUGCGUUGAACACCGAGUUCAUCGCAUCGGGAUGUCUCACCGCUCUCUGUGACACAUCAGAGACCAGAGCUUUUGUGUUCCGCCCGACUCUCAGUGGCAUGUUGGACUGUCACCGAGUUAUCUCGCCUGAGCAGAGAUCCGAGGAUUUGGAGUUGUACAGUUAGAACAAACCGUAUGCAGUGACGGUGUUGUCUAUCCCAGAAGGUUUCCCAUGGAUGAUCUUUUCGCCUUCAAAAGCCCAUUUAUUUAGUAACUCAAGAUUGGUAAUACUAUUACUUACUGGCUUUGACUAAAAACAUAGAGAGUAUAACAUGAGCAUUCAAAGUCUAGAACCCAAAUCAGAUGUGAACAAUAUAAACUCAUGGAUCACUAGCAGUUUGCGAGGGUUGGUUAGUUCUGGAUCCAGUUAACUAGAGAAACAAGAACUGCUACAAAAAGCAUAGAACUUUUGCUAAUUAAUCUCUAUAUCGAUUCACUUAUGACUUCAUUCCAAUAAUUACAGGUUUGGUGAUCUCAAAGGAGUAAUAACAAAGGAAAAGCUUUUGAAAAGUGAUCAGAAUAACAAAGGAAACAGACAAGAUGCACAACAAGAAACGAUCUUUAUCUAUACAUUUCCCAGAUUCAAACAACUGAUAAUUGAACACAACCAACUCUGCAAAUAAAAUAAUAUAAUAAGCCCUUUUGCUCCAAAA
Non-coding RNA from Camelina sativa (false flax), 964 nucleotides. NCBI's taxonomy places the organism in Eukaryota, Viridiplantae, Streptophyta, Magnoliopsida, Brassicales, Brassicaceae. The record is from RefSeq and is a predicted model, not a curated record.